RNAcentral lists this long non-coding RNA (221 nucleotides) under Linum usitatissimum (flax). Its description in RNAcentral is "long non-coding RNA (LUSI_LNC000240)". Lineage: Eukaryota; Viridiplantae; Streptophyta; Magnoliopsida; Malpighiales; Linaceae. The record is from RNAcentral.
GGAAUUUUCAUUCGUGCCUUAAAUUUGAAAAUUGCAUAACUAACAGGGACAAAGUUACUGGAAAUCUGAAACUCACUUGCUAAAUAAACCGAAGCAGCUAACGAACAUAAAGAUAAUAGAGGUUUUACGAAACAUGAAGCCCAUACUGCAGCCCAUGGCGUGACAUUCCUCCCCUUGCAAAUGCGCGACAAUCUCCUUGUGAUUCUUAGACUGCGCAAAAC